CCCCCCCCCAAGUCCGCUUGAACGCGGCCACUGCCCAGGGAGGGUGCGAGGCCCGUACGGGGAUUAGGAGUCGGGCGGUCGGACGGCCCCGUCCGUAGAGUCGGGUUGCCUAUUAACGCAGCCCAAAGAAGGUGGUAAACUCCAUCUAAGGCUAAAUAUUCCCACGAGACCGAUAGCGAACAAGUACCGUGAGGGAAGGUUGAAAAGAACUUUGAAGAGAGAGUUCAAGAGUGCGUGAAACCGUUAAGAGGAAAACGGGUGGAACCUCGAAGGUCGAAGGGGGGGAUUCAGUCCGACGGCGUAUCGGAGGGCUGCGGUGUGGCGACCCCUUUUCUCGGGGCGCUCCCGCGUGCCCGACCUGCGUCGACGGGCGUAUUUCCCCCCUUAGUAGGACGCCGCGACCCGUUGCGGGGUUGCCGAAGGCCCGGGCGGGCGGAACCAUCUCAUCCUGAUGGGGACCCCCCGGUGACCUGGCCGACCCCGCGACGGUCGUCAACGUAAGUGCCCGCCCGUUGUCGGUGGUCUCCUGGACUGCCGGAUGUACGGGCGCCCCUCCCUCUCGGACCGGGGCAGAGGCGCUUUUCGGCGGCGUGUAGGUCGGCGAUCCACCCGACCCGUCUGAAACACGGACCAAGGAGUCUAACAUAUGUGCGAGUCAUUGGGCGAACUAAACCCAAAGGCGCAAUGAAAGUGAAGGGCCUCCCCCUAGGAAACUAGGAGGAGACCCGAGGGCCGAUCAGCCCUCCGCCCCCGUUGGCUGCGGCUGCGGGGGCGUUGGCUGCGCAGGCUCGGGACUUGCACGCCCCACCGUGGGUGGCGAGUACCAAGAGCAGACAUGUUGGGACCCGAAAGAUGGUGAACUAUGCCUGGCCAGGACGAAGCCAGAGGAAACUCUGGUGGAGGUCCGUAGCGAUUCUGACGUGCAAAUCGAUCGUCUGAGCUGGGUAUAGGGGCGAAAGACUAAUCGAACCAUCUAGUAGCUGGUUCCCUCCGAAGUUUCCCUCAGGAUAGCUGGUGCUCGCAACAGAGUUUCAUCCGGUAAAGCGAAUGAUUAGAGGUCUUGGGGACGAAACGUCCUCAACCUAUUCUCAAACUUUAAAUGGGUGAGAGGUCGGGCUUGCUUGACUGAAGCCCCGACAGUGAAUCUGGAGUGCCUAGUGGGCCAUUUUUGGUAAGCAGAACUGGCGCUGUGGGAUGAACCAAACGCCGAGUUAAGGGGCCUAAAUGGACGCUCAUCAGAUCCCAUGAAAGGUGUUGGUUGCUAUAGACAGCAGGACGGUGGCCAUGGAAGUCGGAAUCCGCUAAGGAGUGUGUAACAACUCACCUGCCGAAGCAACUAGCCCUGAAAAUGGAUGGCGCUCAAGCGUCCUCCCGAUACUCGGCCGUCGGGGCAUUACUGGCCGACCAGGGUCUCGAAGCCCCGACGAGUAGGAGGGUCGCCGCGGUGAGCGUAGAAGGAGUCCGGCGUGGGCCGGUCUGGAGCCGCCGCUGGUGCAGAUCUUGGUGGUAGUAGCAAAUACUCGAGCGAGAUCCUUGAGGGCUGAAAGUGGAGAAGGGUUCCAUGUGAACAUCAGUUGAACAUGGUGCAGUCGAUCCUAAGCCCAAGGAGAAAUCCGCCUUCCACAGUCCCGCCGUGCCGAACACGUCCCCGCUUAACCCCAAUUACGAGGUCUCCCUCUUCGUCCGUCCGCUCUCCUUUCAGCCAAGGAAGGUCGGGCGUGUGCCUCACUCACUCCCCGGUGCCGAGCGAACGAGCGACGGCGGACGGGGAAAAAACAUAUAUAGAUCGACUGACGAACNNNNNNNNNNNNNNNNNNNNNNNNNNNNNNNNNNNNNNNNNNNNNNNNNNNNNNNNNNNNNNNNNNNNNNNNNNNNNNNNNNNNNNNNNNNNNNNNNNNNNNGAAAAAAACGAGGGUAACGGAGAAGGCGACCUAGCCGAUGUGCCAGAGUUGCCGAUGCACCAACCCCUCACCAGCUUCACGGACCUCCCCGCUGACUGGACCGGGCCGGGCCGGGACGGGUGUACACAAACACACACCCGAGAGAACGGUUACAGACCGGCCCUCGUUCAGCCAGCAGUGCGCCCGCCUAACCCUGCGCGGCUGCCCGGCAGUUGCGCGCGCGUAGUCAAUGCGGCCGGAAGGUUCUGGGCGAAAGGGAAUCCGGUUCUUAUUCCGGAACCUCCACCCGGAGAAAGGAUGAAACCCCUCGCCUAAAGAAAGGAACUCCUGGCAACGGGAGAUAGCCUGCUGCUGCCGGCCGCGGUUCAGGGAAGAGUUGUCUUUUCUGCUUAAGAGGUCU
RNAcentral lists this ribosomal RNA (2301 nucleotides) under Haptosquilla trispinosa. Its description in RNAcentral is "partial 28S ribosomal RNA". It matches the Rfam family "Eukaryotic large subunit ribosomal RNA", at positions 174 to 1713 of the family's 3401-position model. Lineage: Eukaryota; Metazoa; Arthropoda; Malacostraca; Stomatopoda; Protosquillidae. The record is from RNAcentral.